UACGUAGGGUGCGAGCGUUAAUCGGAAUUACUGGGCGUAAAGCGUGCGCAGGCGGUUCGUUGUGUCGGCGGUGAAAGCCCCGGGCUCAACCUGGGAACCGCGCUUGAGACUGGCGGGCUAGAGUUCGGGAGAGGAUGGUGGAAUUCCCAGUGUAGAGGUGAAAUUCGUAGAUAUUGGGAAGAACACCGAUGGCGAAGGCAGCCAUCUGGACCGACACUGACGCUGAGGCGCGAAAGCGUGGGGAGCAAACAGG
This 253-nucleotide ribosomal RNA is filed under the name uncultured bacterium. RNAcentral's name for it is "partial 16S ribosomal RNA". It matches the Rfam family "Bacterial small subunit ribosomal RNA", at positions 524 to 776 of the family's 1533-position model. The record is from RNAcentral.